GACGAAGGAUGCAAGCGUUAUCCGGAUUCAUUGGGUUUAAAGGGUGCGUAGGCGGACUUGCAAGUCAGUGGUGAAAUCUCCGGGCUUAACUCGGAAACUGCCAUUGAUACUGCAGAUCUUGAGUACAGAUGAUGUUGGCGGAAUAUGACAUGUAGCGGUGAAAUGCAUAGAUAUGUCAUAGAACACCGAUUGCGAAGGCAGCUGACAAAACUGUAACUGACGCUGAGGCACGAAAGUGUGGGGAUCAAACAGG
This 253-nucleotide ribosomal RNA is filed under the name uncultured bacterium. RNAcentral's name for it is "partial 16S ribosomal RNA". It matches the Rfam family "Bacterial small subunit ribosomal RNA", at positions 524 to 776 of the family's 1533-position model. The record is from RNAcentral.